Molecule: non-coding RNA, 384 nt
Organism: Glycine soja
Lineage: Eukaryota; Viridiplantae; Streptophyta; Magnoliopsida; Fabales; Fabaceae
Source: Rfam
CAUCAUAUACUAAUUGAGGACAUAUAAAAUGCACAUGACAAUCUAUAGCCCCAGCUGUCACAAUCAAGCCCUCUCCAGCAAUAACUUCGGUAUUAGCCUAGAUAUGGAUGAUGUAUGUAAAGUUGUAUCAGGAUAAUGAGGUAGGAAUUCAACUCAUUGCCUCUAAUAUCUAGAAGGGAACUUACCCCAAUUAUCAUAUUAGGAAAUACAUCAUUCAUAAUGUCUGGAUUUCCUGCUUUUCCUGUUGAGAUGAUCAGUCCAUCUUUAAUACCGAUAUCUGCUUUGAUAAUUCCAGUAUAAUCAAUGAUCACAGCAUUUGUUAUAACAGUAUCCAAGGAGCCCUCAGGUGGAUGGCCACUUGAUUGACCCAUUCCGUCUCUUAUG